CCUACGGGGGACUGCAGUGAGGAAUAUUGGUCAAUGGGCGCGAGCCUGAACCAGCCAAGUAGCGUGAAGGAUGACUGCCCUACGGGUUGUAAACUUCUUUUAUAAAGGAAUAAAGUGAGGCACGUGUGCCUUUUUGUCUGUCCUUUAUGAGUAAGGAUCGGCUAACUCCGUGCCAGCAGCCGAGGUAAUACGGAGGAUCCGAGCGUUAUCCGGAUUUAUUGGGUUUAAAGGGAGCGUAGAUGGGUUGUUAAGUCAGUUGUGAAAGUUUGCGGCUCAACCGUAAAAUUGCAAUUGAUACUGGCAGUCUAGAGUAUAGUUGAGGUAGGCAGAAUUCGUGGUGUAGCGGUGAAAUGCUUAGAGAUCACGAAGAAUUCCGAUUGCGAAGGCAGCUUACUAAACAGCCACUGACAUUGAUGCUCGAAAGUGUGGGUAUCAAACAGGAUUAGAUACCCCAGUAGUC
Molecule: ribosomal RNA, 460 nt
Filed under: uncultured bacterium
Lineage: Bacteria
Description: partial 16S ribosomal RNA
Rfam family: Bacterial small subunit ribosomal RNA
Source: RNAcentral